RNAcentral lists this transfer RNA (66 nucleotides) under Neohylomys hainanensis (Hainan gymnure). RNAcentral's name for it is "tRNA-Tyr". It matches the Rfam family "tRNA". From Rfam's summary of the family: Transfer RNA (tRNA) molecules are approximately 80 nucleotides in length. Their secondary structure includes four short double-helical elements and three loops (D, anti-codon, and T loops). The record is from RNAcentral. Lineage: Eukaryota; Metazoa; Chordata; Mammalia; Eulipotyphla; Erinaceidae.
GGUAAAAUGGCUGAGAUAAGGCAUUAGACUGUAAAUCUAAUAACAGAGGGUAGCCUCUUUUUACCA